Molecule: transfer RNA, 72 nt
Filed under: Sphingobium fuliginis ATCC 27551
Lineage: Bacteria; Pseudomonadati; Pseudomonadota; Alphaproteobacteria; Sphingomonadales; Sphingobiaceae
Description: tRNA-Met
Rfam family: tRNA
About the family: Transfer RNA (tRNA) molecules are approximately 80 nucleotides in length. Their secondary structure includes four short double-helical elements and three loops (D, anti-codon, and T loops).
Source: RNAcentral
AGCAGGAUAGAGCAGAGGUAGUUCGCUUGGCUCAUAACCAAGAGGUCUCGGGUUCAAAUCCCGAUCCUGCCA